This is a non-coding RNA of Paramisgurnus dabryanus, 334 nucleotides long. NCBI's taxonomy places the organism in Eukaryota, Metazoa, Chordata, Actinopteri, Cypriniformes, Cobitidae. The record is from RefSeq and is a predicted model, not a curated record.
GAGAGAGAGAGAGAGAGAGAGAGAGACCGGGGGUAGGAUGAUUGCGUCACAGCUGAGCUGACAAACGACCACUGAAAGCAUGUUUCAUGCAAAUGGCUGAGAGAAUUGAAACAACAAUGAUAAGUAUGAACAGGGAAAAAGAACAAAUGGAUGACAAUUUUGCUCUUUAAAAGAUGCCACACAUGGUCAAUAAAAGAAUGGCUUCCAAAGCUCUGAAUUCAAAGGGCAAAGAGUAAGUGGCCAAAUUUCCAUCUCCUGCCAACUGUGGUCCAAGUUCCAACACCAGCCACUUCUCCAGACCCAGUCCACGAAAAUCCAGCACGAGCAAAGAGUC